RNAcentral lists this ribosomal RNA (414 nucleotides) under Triticum aestivum (bread wheat). RNAcentral's name for it is "partial small subunit ribosomal RNA". The record is from RNAcentral. Lineage: Eukaryota; Viridiplantae; Streptophyta; Magnoliopsida; Poales; Poaceae.
AUGUCGAGCCAGUCCGCGAACAUGACCUUGGGGAGCACGGGCGUGUGCGGCCGGAUCGUGGCUACAACGCCGGGGAUUGUGAGGUUGCUCGAGUCGUCGGCCAUCGACGACGACUCCAGCGGCCCGGAUGAGCCGGAGAUGGACGGCUGGUUAACAGUGCUGCGUUCGCGGGCGCUGUCGCUGGGCGUCGGGCUCCGGGGCGCGUCUGAUCCGGCGGACUUGGCUGGUGAGCGCGCGCCCUCGACGCGCUUCUUCAGGCUUGUGAUGCGUGCUUGCUUACUUGUUGCCGAGUGUGGCGUGGAGGCUCAUGACGGUCUCUUCUUCCUCCCUGGAGAACAUGCCGUGCUUCAGCCCCGGCCUCAGGUAGUUGAUCCACCGCAGCCUGCAGCUCUUGCCGUUCCGCUCAAGUCCUGA